UGGUGUUACUGCGAAGGGGGGACGGAGAAGGCUAUGUUGGCCGGGCGACGGUUGUCCCGGUUUAAGCGUGUAGGCUGGUUUUCCAGGCAAAUCCGGAAAAUCAAGGCUGAGGCGUGAUGACGAGGCACUACGGUGCUGAAGCAACAAAUGCCCUGCUUCCAGGAAAAGCCUCUAAGCAUCAGGUAACAUCAAAUCGUACCCCAAACCGACACAGGUGGUCAGGUAGAGAAUACCAAGGCGCUUGAGAGAACUCGGGUGAAGGAACUAGGCAAAAUGGUGCCGUAACUUCGGGAGAAGGCACGCUGAUAUGUAGGUGAAGUCCCUUGCGGAUGGAGCUGAAAUCAGUCGAAGAUACCAGCUGGCUGCAACUGUUUAUUAAAAACACAGCACUGUGCAAACACGAAAGUGGACGUAUACGGUGUGACGCCUGCCCGGUGCCGGAAGGUUAAUUGAUGGGGUCAGCGCAAGCGAAGCUCUUGAUCGAAGCCCCGGUAAACGGCGGCCGUAACUAUAACGGUCCUAAGGUAGCGAAAUUCCUUGUCGGGUAAGUUCCGACCUGCACGAAUGGCGUAAUGAUGGCCAGGCUGUCUCCACCCGAGACUCAGUGAAAUUGAACUCGCUGUGAAGAUGCAGUGUACCCGCGGCAAGACGGAAAGACCCCGUGAACCUUUACUAUAGCUUGACACUGAACAUUGAGCCUUGAUGUGUAGGAUAGGUGGGAGGCUUUGAAGUGUGGACGCCAGUCUGCAUGGAGCCGGCCUUGAAAUACCACCCUUUAAUGUUUGAUGUUCUAACGUGGACCCGUGAUCCGGGUUGCGGACAGUGUCUGGUGGGUAGUUUGACUGGGGCGGUCUCCUCCUAAAGAGUAACGGAGGAGCACGAAGGUUGGCUAAUCCUGGUCGGACAUCAGGAGGUUAGUGCAAUGGCAUAAGCCAGCUUGACUGCGAGCGUGACGGCGCGAGCAGGUGCGAAAGCAGGUCAUAGUGAUCCGGUGGUUCUGAAUGGAAGGGCCAUCGCUCAACGGAUAAAAGGUACUCCGGGGAUAACAGGCUGAUACCGCCCAAGAGUUCAUAUCGACGGCGGUGUUUGGCACCUCGAUGUCGGCUCAUCACAUCCUGGGGCUGAAGUAGGUCCCAAGGGUAUGGCUGUUCGCCAUUUAAAGUGGUACGCGAGCUGGGUUUAGAACGUCGUGAGACAGUUCGGUCCCUAUCUGCCGUGGGCGCUGGAGAACUGAGGGGGGCUGCUCCUAGUACGAGAGGACCGGAGUGGACGCAUCACUGGUGUUCGGGUUGUCAUGCCAAUGGCACUGCCCGGUAGCUAAAUGCGGAAGAGAUAAGUGCUGAAAGCAUCUAAGCACGAAACUUGCCCCGAGAUGAGUUCUCCCUGACCCUUUAAGGGUCCUGAAGGAACGUUGAAGACGACGACGUUGAUAGGCCGGGUGUGUAAGCGCAGCGAUGCGUUGAGCUAACCGGUACUAAUGAACCGUGAG
Molecule: ribosomal RNA, 1489 nt
Filed under: Shigella sonnei
Lineage: Bacteria; Pseudomonadati; Pseudomonadota; Gammaproteobacteria; Enterobacterales; Enterobacteriaceae
Description: partial 23S ribosomal RNA
Rfam family: Bacterial large subunit ribosomal RNA
Source: RNAcentral